This 374-nucleotide ribosomal RNA is filed under the name uncultured bacterium. RNAcentral describes it as "bacterial SSU rRNA". It matches the Rfam family "Bacterial small subunit ribosomal RNA", at positions 524 to 898 of the family's 1533-position model. The record is from RNAcentral.
UACAGAGGGUGCAAGCGUUAAUCGGAGUAACUGGGCGUAAAGGGCGCGUAGGUGGUUAUAUGAGUGUGAUGUGAAAGCCCCGGGCUUAACCUGGGAAGCGCAUCGCAAACGAUAUAACUGGAGUACAGUAGAGGGUGGCGGAAUUUCCGGUGUAGCGGUGAAAUGCGUAGAGAUCGGAAGGAACGUCAAUGGCGAAGGCAGCCACCUGGACUGAAACUGACACUGAGGCGCGAAAGCGUGGGUAGCGAACAGGAUUAGAUACCCUGGUAGUCCACGCUGUAAACGAUGAAAACUAGAUGUUGUUAGGGGAACCUAUCAGUAUCGAAGCUAACGCGAUAAGUUUUCCGCCUGGGAAGUACGGCCGCAAGGUUGAA